Molecule: ribosomal RNA, 253 nt
Filed under: uncultured bacterium
Lineage: Bacteria
Description: partial 16S ribosomal RNA
Rfam family: Bacterial small subunit ribosomal RNA
Source: RNAcentral
UACAGAGGUCUCAAGCGUUGUUCGGAAUCACUGGGCGUAAAGGGUGCGUAGGCGGCACGGUAAGUCAGAGGUGAAAUCCCGGAGCUCAACUUCGGAAUUGCCUCCGAUACUGCCGUGCUUGAGGACUGGAGAGGAGAUUGGAAUUCACAGUGGAGCAGUGAAAUGCGUAGAUAUUCGGAGGAACACCAGUGGCGAAGGCGGCUCACUGGCCCGGUACUGACGCUGAGGUGCGAAAGCGUGGGGAGCAAACAGG